AGCCUGAUGCAGCCAUGCCGCGUGUAUGAAGAAGGCCUUCGGGUUGUAAAGUACUUUCAGUUGUGAGGAAGGGUGUGUAGUUAAUAACUGCAUAUCUUGACGUUAGCAACAGAAGAAGCACCGGCUAACUCCGUGCCAGCAGCCGCGGUAAUACGGAGGGUGCGAGCGUUAAUCGGAAUUACUGGGCGUAAAGCGCAUGCAGGUGGUUCAUUAAGUCAGAUGUGAAAGCCCGGGGCUCAACCUCGGAACUGCAUUUGAAACUGGUGAACUAGAGUACUGUAGAGGGGGGUAGAAUUUCAGGUGUAGCGGUGAAAUGCGUAGAGAUCUGAAGGAAUACCAGUGGCGAAGGCGGCCCCCUGGACAGAUACUGACACUCAGAUGCGAAAGCGUGGGGAGCAAACAGGAUUAGAUACCCUGGUAGUCCACGCCGUAAACGAUGUCUACUUGGAGGUUGUGGCCUUGAGCCGUGGCUUUCGGAGCUAACGCGUUAAGUAGACCGCCUGGGGAGUACGGUCGCAAGAUUAAAACUCA
RNAcentral lists this ribosomal RNA (531 nucleotides) under Vibrio sp. MED181. RNAcentral describes it as "bacterial SSU rRNA". It matches the Rfam family "Bacterial small subunit ribosomal RNA", at positions 380 to 903 of the family's 1533-position model. The record is from RNAcentral. Lineage: Bacteria; Pseudomonadati; Pseudomonadota; Gammaproteobacteria; Vibrionales; Vibrionaceae.